This 254-nucleotide ribosomal RNA is filed under the name uncultured bacterium. RNAcentral's name for it is "partial 16S ribosomal RNA". It matches the Rfam family "Bacterial small subunit ribosomal RNA", at positions 524 to 776 of the family's 1533-position model. The record is from RNAcentral.
UACGGGGGGGGGCAAGCGUUGUUCGGAAUUACUGGGCGUAAAGGGCUCGUAGGCGGCCAACUCAGUCGGACGUGAAAUCCCUCGGCUUAACCGGGGAACUGCGUCCGAUACUGGAUGGCUUGAGUGUGGGAGAGGGAUGCGGAAUUCCAGGUGUAGCGGUGAAAUGCGUAGAUAUCUGGAGGAACACCGGUGGCGAAGGCGGCAUCCUGGACUACUACUGACGCUGAGGCACGAAAGCGUGGGGAGCAAACAGG